AGCGUACACGGUGGAUGCCCUGGCAGUCAGAGGCGAUGAAGGACGUGCUAAUCUGCGAUAAGCGUCGGUAAGGUGAUAUGAACCGUUAUAACCGGCGAUUUCCGAAUGGGGAAACCCAGUGUGAUUCGUCACACUAUCAUUAACUGAAUCCAUAGGUUAAUGAGGCGAACCGGGGGAACUGAAACAUCUAAGUACCCCGAGGAAAAGAAAUCAACCGAGAUUCCCCCAGUAGCGGCGAGCGAACGGGGAGCAGCCCAGAGCCUGAAUCAGUGUGUGUGUUAGUGGAAGCGUCUGGAAAGGCGCGCGAUACAGGGUGACAGCCCCGUACACAAAAAUGCACAUGCUGUGAGCUCGAUGAGUAGGGCGGGACACGUGGUAUCCUGUCUGAAUAUGGGGGGACCAUCCUCCAAGGCUAAAUACUCCUGACUGACCGAUAGUGAACCAGUACCGUGAGGGAAAGGCGAAAAGAACCCCGGCGAGGGGAGUGAAAAAGAACCUGAAACCGUGUACGUACAAGCAGUGGGAGCCUCUUUAUGGGGUGACUGCGUACCUUUUGUAUAAUGGGUCAGCGACUUAUAUUCUGUAGCAAGGUUAACCGAAUAGGGGAGCCGAAGGGAAACCGAGUCUUAACUGGGCGUUAAGUUGCAGGGUAUAGACCCGAAACCCGGUGAUCUAGCCAUGGGCAGGUUGAAGGUUGGGUAACACUAACUGGAGGACCGAACCGACUAAUGUUGAAAAAUUAGCGGAUGACUUGUGGCUGGGGGGGAAAGGCCAAUCAAACCGGGAGAUAGCUGGUUCUCCCCGAAAGCUAUUUAGGUAGCGCCUCGUGAAUUCAUCUCCGGGGGUAGAGCACUGUUUCGGCAAGGGGGUCAUCCCGACUUACCAACCCGAUGCAAACUGCGAAUACCGGAGAAUGUUAUCACGGGAGACACACGGCGGGUGCUAACGUCCGUCGUGAAGAGGGAAACAACCCAGACCGCCAGCUAAGGUCCCAAAGUCAUGGUUAAGUGGGAAACGAUGUGGGAAGGCCCAGACAGCCAGGAUGUUGGCUUAGAAGCAGCCAUCAUUUAAAGAAAGCGUAAUAGCUCACUGGUCGAGUCGGCCUGCGCGGAAGAUGUAACGGGGCUAAACCAUGCACCGAAGCUGCGGCAGCGACGCUUAUGCGUUGUUGGGUAGGGGAGCGUUCUGUAAGCCUGUGAAGGUGUACUGUGAGGUAUGCUGGAGGUAUCAGAAGUGCGAAUGCUGACAUAAGUAACGAUAAAGCGGGUGAAAAGCCCGCUCGCCGGAAGACCAAGGGUUCCUGUCCAACGUUAAUCGGGGCAGGGUGAGUCGACCCCUAAGGCGAGGCCGAAAGGCGUAGUCGAUGGGAAACAGGUUAAUAUUCCUGUACUUGGUGUUACUGCGAAGGGGGGACGGAGAAGGCUAUGUUGGCCGGGCGACGGUUGUCCCGGUUUAAGCGUGUAGGCUGAUUUUCCAGGCAAAUCCGGAGAAUCAAGGCUGAGGCGUGAUGACGAGGCACUACGGUGCUGAAGCAACAAAUGCCCUGCUUCCAGGAAAAGCCUCUAAGCAUCAGGUAACAUCAAAUCGUACCCCAAACCGACACAGGUGGUCAGGUAGAGAAUACCAAGGCGCUUGAGAGAACUCGGGUGAAGGAACUAGGCAAAAUGGUGCCGUAACUUCGGGAGAAGGCACGCUGAUAUGUAGGUGAAGCGACUUGCUCGUGGAGCUGAAAUCAGUCGAAGAUACCAGCUGGCUGCAACUGUUUAUUAAAAACACAGCACUGUGCAAACACGAAAGUGGACGUAUACGGUGUGACGCCUGCCCGGUGCCGGAAGGUUAAUUGAUGGGGUCAGCCGCAAGGCGAAGCUCUUGAUCGAAGCCCCGGUAAACGGCGGCCGUAACUAUAACGGUCCUAAGGUAGCGAAAUUCCUUGUCGGGUAAGUUCCGACCUGCACGAAUGGCGUAAUGAUGGCCAGGCUGUCUCCACCCGAGACUCAGUGAAAUUGAACUCGCUGUGAAGAUGCAGUGUACCCGCGGCAAGACGGAAAGACCCCGUGAACCUUUACUAUAGCUUGACACUGAACAUUGAGCCUUGAUGUGUAGGAUAGGUGGGAGGCUUUGAAGUGUGGACGCCAGUCUGCAUGGAGCCGACCUUGAAAUACCACCCUUUAAUGUUUGAUGUUCUAACGUGGACCCGUGAUCCGGGUUGCGGACAGUGUCUGGUGGGUAGUUUGACUGGGGCGGUCUCCUCCUAAAGAGUAACGGAGGAGCACGAAGGUUGGCUAAUCCUGGUCGGACAUCAGGAGGUUAGUGCAAUGGCAUAAGCCAGCUUGACUGCGAGCGUGACGGCGCGAGCAGGUGCGAAAGCAGGUCAUAGUGAUCCGGUGGUUCUGAAUGGAAGGGCCAUCGCUCAACGGAUAAAAGGUACUCCGGGGAUAACAGGCUGAUACCGCCCAAGAGUUCAUAUCGACGGCGGGGUUUGGCACCUCGAUGUCGGCUCAUCACAUCCUGGGGCUGAAGUAGGUCCCAAGGGUAUGGCUGUUCGCCAUUUAAAGUGGUACGCGAGCUGGGUUUAGAACGUCGUGAGACAGUUCGGUCCCUAUCUGCCGUGGGCGCUGGAGAACUGAGGGGGGCUGCUCCUAGUACGAGAGGACCGGAGUGGACGCAUCACUGGUGUUCGGGUUGUCAUGCCAAUGGCACUGCCCGGUAGCUAAAUGCGGAAGAGAUAAGUGCUGAAAGCAUCUAAGCACGAAACUUGCCCCGAGAUGAGUUCUCCCUGACUCCUUGA
Molecule: ribosomal RNA, 2788 nt
Filed under: human gut metagenome
Description: bacterial LSU rRNA
Rfam family: Bacterial large subunit ribosomal RNA
Source: RNAcentral